Small nuclear RNA from Chiroxiphia lanceolata (lance-tailed manakin), 107 nucleotides. Lineage: Eukaryota; Metazoa; Chordata; Aves; Passeriformes; Pipridae. The record is from RefSeq and is a predicted model, not a curated record.
GUGCUCACUUCAGCAGCACUUAUACUACAAUUGGAAUGAUGCAGAAAUAAUUAGCACAGCCCCUGUGCAAGAAUGACAUGCAAAUUCAUGAAGUAUUCCAUAUUUUA